RNAcentral lists this ribosomal RNA (515 nucleotides) under uncultured bacterium. RNAcentral's name for it is "partial 16S ribosomal RNA". It matches the Rfam family "Bacterial small subunit ribosomal RNA", at positions 28 to 523 of the family's 1533-position model. The record is from RNAcentral.
GAUGAACGCUGGCGGCGUGCCUAAUACAUGCAAGUCAAGCGAAUGGAUUAAGAGCUUGCUCUUAUGAAGUUAGCGGCGGACGGGUGAGUAACACGUGGGUAACUUGCCCAUAAGACUGGGAUAACUCCGGGAAACCGGGGCUAAUACCGGAUAACAUUUUGAACCGCAUGGUUCGAAAUUGAAAGGCGGCUUCGGCUGUCACUUAUGGAUGGACCCGCGUCGCAUUAGCUAGUUGGUGAGGUAACGGCUCACCAAGGCAACGAAGCGUAGCCGACCUGAGAGCGUGAUCGGCCACACGGGGACCGAGACACGGCCCAGACUCCUACGGGAGGCAGCAGUAGGGAAUCUUCCGCAAUGGACGAAAGUCUGACGGAGCAACGCCGCGUGAGUGAUGAAGGCUUUCGGGUCGUAAAACUCUGUUGUUAGGGAAGAACAAGUGCUAGUUGAAUAAGCUGGCACCUUGACGGUACCUAACCAGAAAGCCACGGCUAACUACGUGCCAGCAGCCGCCGUAA